ACUGCAUUCAGUCACCCCUUUUUCGGGUUUGGCAACGCUAUCAAUCUGCGCUAGGAGUUCCCAUACUCGGGUCAACUGGCAGCUUCCGGAGUCGUUCGGAGUCCACAGAUCAAACGAUCGCGGCCACUUUUGGUGGUUCAAGAUAUGAUCGGCCUCGGCUGUCACUAGCCAAGAACGCGUGCGGAACCUGCGGAAGGAUCAUUA
Molecule: ribosomal RNA, 204 nt
Filed under: Allocetraria stracheyi
Lineage: Eukaryota; Fungi; Ascomycota; Lecanoromycetes; Lecanorales; Parmeliaceae
Description: partial 18S ribosomal RNA
Source: RNAcentral